RNAcentral lists this ribosomal RNA (484 nucleotides) under uncultured bacterium. RNAcentral describes it as "partial 16S ribosomal RNA". It matches the Rfam family "Bacterial small subunit ribosomal RNA", at positions 30 to 507 of the family's 1533-position model. The record is from RNAcentral.
AUUGAACGCUGGCGGCAGGCCUAACACAUGCAAGUCGAGCGGAUGAAGGGAGCUUGCUCCUGGAUUCAGCGGCGGACGGGUGAGUAAUGCCUAGGAAUCUGCCUGGUAGUGGGGGAUAACGUCCGGAAACGGGCGCUAAUACCGCAUACGUCCUGAGGGAGAAAGUGGGGGAUCUUCGGACCUCACGCUAUCAGAUGAGCCUAGGUCGGAUUAGCUAGUUGGUGGGGUAAAGGCCUACCAAGGCGACGAUCCGUAACUGGUCUGAGAGGAUGAUCAGUCACACUGGAACUGAGACACGGUCCAGACUCCUACGGGAGGCAGCAGUGGGGAAUAUUGGACAAUGGGCGAAAGCCUGAUCCAGCCAUGCCGCGUGUGUGAAGAAGGUCUUCGGAUUGUAAGGCACUUUAAGUGGGGAGGAAGGGCAGUAAGUUAAUACCUUGCUGUUUUGACGUUACCAACAGAAUAAGCACCGGCUAACUUCGUG